This 253-nucleotide ribosomal RNA is filed under the name uncultured bacterium. RNAcentral describes it as "partial 16S ribosomal RNA". It matches the Rfam family "Bacterial small subunit ribosomal RNA", at positions 524 to 776 of the family's 1533-position model. The record is from RNAcentral.
UACGGGGGGGGCAAGCGUUGUUCGGAAUUACUGGGCGUAAAGGGCUCGUAGGUGGCCAACUAAGUCAGACGUGAAAUCCCUCAGCUUAACUGGGGAACUGCAUCUGAUACUGGAUGGCUUGAGUUCGGGAGAGGGAUGCGGAAUUCCAGGUGUAGCGGUGAAAUGCGUAGAUAUCUGGAGGAACACCGGUGGCGAAGGCGGCAUCCUGGACCGACACUGACGCUGAUGCACGAAGGCCAGGGGAGCAAACGGG